AUUGAACGCUGGCGGCAUGCUUUACACAUGCAAGUCGAACGGCAGCGCGGGGCAACCUGGCGGCGAGUGGCGAACGGGUGAGUAAUAUAUCGGAACGUACCCAAGAGUGGGGGAUAACGUAGCGAAAGUUACGCUAAUACCGCAUACGAUCUAAGGAUGAAAGCAGGGGACCGCAGGGCCUUGUGCUCCUGGAGCGGCCGAUAUCUGAUUAGCUAGUUGGUGAGGAAAGGCUCACCAAGGCGACGAUCAGUAGCUGGUCUGAGAGGACGACCAGCCACACUGGGACUGAGACACGGCCCAGACUCCUACGGGAGGCAGCAGUGGGGAAUUUUGGACAAUGGGCGAAAGCCUGAUCCAGCAAUGCCGCGUGAGUGAAGAAGG
RNAcentral lists this ribosomal RNA (381 nucleotides) under uncultured bacterium. RNAcentral describes it as "bacterial SSU rRNA". It matches the Rfam family "Bacterial small subunit ribosomal RNA", at positions 29 to 414 of the family's 1533-position model. The record is from RNAcentral.